Molecule: non-coding RNA, 210 nt
Organism: Cinara cedri
Lineage: Eukaryota; Metazoa; Arthropoda; Insecta; Hemiptera; Aphididae
Source: the annotation of a GenBank genome assembly
GUCCGAUAAGUUGCACUUUAACCCGCUAUCAAUACCCUGCAUUCAGUGAAAAUGCGCUAGAUGGUAAUGGGCACACCAACGCAGGAAGGGUGAAUCGGUGGGUCUUCCUCAAGGUUGGAUUACCUUAUAAAAACAGCCAGUGAAAUAUUUAUUCUACUGGCCCUAAAAGUUAUACAGCAGCCACAUUUCAUAUUAUAUGUUUUUGUUGCC